RNAcentral lists this ribosomal RNA (355 nucleotides) under uncultured bacterium. RNAcentral describes it as "partial 16S ribosomal RNA". It matches the Rfam family "Bacterial small subunit ribosomal RNA", at positions 338 to 690 of the family's 1533-position model. The record is from RNAcentral.
CCUACGGGAGGCAGCAGUGAGGAAUAUUGGUCAAUGGACGAGAGUCUGAACCAGCCAAGUAGCGUGAAGGAUGACUGCCCUAUGGGUUGUAAACUUCUUUUAUAUGGGAAUAAAAUGUUCCACGCGUAUGAUUUUGUAUGUAUCAUAUGAAUAAGGAUCGGCUAACUCCGUGCCAGCAGCCGCGGUAAUACGUAGGAUCCGAGCGUUAUCCGGAUUUCUUGGGUUUAAAGGGAGCGUAGGUGGAUUGUUAAGUCAGUUGUGAAAGCUUGGGGCUCAACCGGAAAAUUGCAGUUGAAAUGUGCAGUCAUGAGGACAGUAGAGUUGGGCGGAAUUCGUGGUGUAGCGGUGAAAUGCU